RNAcentral lists this ribosomal RNA (234 nucleotides) under uncultured bacterium. Its description in RNAcentral is "partial 16S ribosomal RNA". It matches the Rfam family "Bacterial small subunit ribosomal RNA", at positions 103 to 334 of the family's 1533-position model. The record is from RNAcentral.
CCGGGUGAGUAACGCGUGAGGAACCUGCCUCAAAGAGGGGGACAACAGUUGGAAACGACUGCUAAUACCGCAUAAGCCCACGGCUCGGCAUCGAGCAGAGGGAAAAGGAGCAAUCCGCUUUGAGAUGGCCUCGCGUCCGAUUAGCUAGUUGGUGAGGUAACGGCCCACCAAGGCGACGAUCGGUAGCCGGACUGAGAGGUUGAACGGCCACAUUGGGACUGAGACACGGCCCAG